RNAcentral lists this ribosomal RNA (406 nucleotides) under uncultured bacterium. RNAcentral describes it as "partial 16S ribosomal RNA". It matches the Rfam family "Bacterial small subunit ribosomal RNA", at positions 30 to 526 of the family's 1533-position model. The record is from RNAcentral.
AUUGAACGCUGGCGGCAGGCCUAACACAUGCAAGUCGAACGAGUGGCGGACGGGUGAGUAAUGUGUGGGAAACUCCCCGAUGGAGGGGGAUAACUACGGGAAACGGUAGCAAAUACCGCAUACCAUCGGAUGAGCCCAGAUGGGAUUAGCUAGUAGGUGGGGUAACGGCUCACCUAGGACACGAUCCCUAGCCGGUCUGAGAGGAUGACCAGCCACACUGGAACUGAGACACGGUCCAGACUCCUACGGGAGGCAGCAGUGGGGAAUCUUGCACAAUGGGCGCAAGCCUGAUGCAGCCAUGCCGCGUGUAUGAAGAAGGCCUUCGGGUUGUAAAGUACUUUCAGUGAGGAGGCGUUACCCGCAGAAGAAGCACCGGCUAACUCCGUGCCAGCAGCCGCGGUAAUAC